RNAcentral lists this long non-coding RNA (27676 nucleotides) under Coffea arabica (coffee). RNAcentral's name for it is "long non-coding RNA (CARA_LNC001492)". Lineage: Eukaryota; Viridiplantae; Streptophyta; Magnoliopsida; Gentianales; Rubiaceae. The record is from RNAcentral.
UUAAAAGCACUUAAACACUUAAUAAAUGCUUUUAUUAAAAGAUCUGCUAACCCCAAACGGACCAUGGACCUGAAUUAUGUUCCAUGACAAUGGAUUCAGGUGGAAGAUUGACCAUCAGAAUAUCAAUUAAAGACCAAUGUCUGCACUAAAAUAAUCUUUCAAACUUUUAACAUAAUUGCCUAGCACUCUUCCAAGAUAUUGAUAGAAGUUCAAUGAAUAAUUGAUAAUGCAAUGCGUGGACCACGCUUCAACAAACAUAUGGACUAAUAAUUGAUUCAUAUGCAUGCACUUGACUGAAUAUUGCGCGUAUUACAAGCUAAGUUUCCAUAGGGCUUCACGAGGCUUUGAUUUAUCCUACACGUAUCAUUUCUGAGCCUUUACAUACUCGAGCUUAAGCUAUGCUUGACAAAUUAAAAGGAAGCAAAAACAAAUCCAGACGGGGUUUAGAACACGCCUUACAAAUACUUAAACAAGACACACACAAAAUGAGGUCACUUCACCGUAAAAGCAGUCACAGAAAAGGUGAAAGAAACUCUCUGGUUAAUUGACCUAUCAUUUUAAGUUUGAAAGUAGUAAAUAUGACUGAGUGGACAAACAAUUGGAAUCAGCAAAAGGUGCCCAAGAAUAUUAACAAUUCUAAGCUAUUGUGCUUAAGAACAAAAAGCAGGGCAGUUCAUCUAAUCCACUUCUCUACCACAAAAUCAAGCACUAAUCAAAAGACAAUUGAAAACAUUGAAAAUUAUGGGUUUGACAAUUCAUACUUAAAUCCCAACCCUAGCGAAGCGCACUAAGAAAAAUGUUUAGUCAAAGGUAGAAAGCUUUUGUCACGGAAACAUUCUAAAAUCUUGUGUAGACGCAUAACCCAAGAAAGUAUAAAAUUAAAUCUACUCGUAUACGUUUGAAACCCCUCCAUGUUAAAGGCUUCAGAUAUACAAGUACCAGCAUACAUCCAGGUACUUUGUCAGAGGAUUGGUCAAUCUUUUUCAAUACUCCCUUAACUUCAACCUAGAUCGCCACCUCAAAAACAUGGACUUCCUCUCACUCUAUGUAACCCACAAAUAACAACCAACAAUUAUCUCAUUUUUGCAGUAACUGAGAUCCCUUGUUCCACCAAUUCCCCCUUCUGAGCUACCAAAGAAGAAAAUAAGAAGUGUGAACAAAGAAAGAAAAGUUACAUUUAAAGCAUUCUAAACCUGCUGCACAUGAAGUGGAGAAGAUAUCAGAACCAAAUGUAUGUAAGUAAAAAAUUAGACAUAAAAAAGGUCUGAGACGUGUUUUCAAGUUUAACAUACCCUGGAACUUCAUAUACCAAGAGGAGGUCAUCUUCUUGACAGGAAGUGUAGAUGCAAGCAACACGCUGCUUCGAAAGCAGAGGAGCCAAAAGUAUUGAAUAAGCACAAAAAAAGUGGGCACAUAGAUAAAAAGAAGGGGCCAAGUUAGAAACACAAACCAAAAGCAAAUGACAGAACAAAUCACGACAAUUAGACCAACAAAGUAUGUCAGCAAUCAAUCAUGAAGGAAAUCAAGACGGAUAAAAAAUUAUAAAACUUCUGAAAGGCAGCGGCAACCGUCCAAUCACCACAGACAGGCCUACAAAGCAGUAAUCAGUAGAGAUAGAGCUUUUAUAUUUGAUACUCCAAUUCUUCCUCAUGAACUGAACAUUGUCCCAACGCUCUGCAAAUGUCAUAAGAGCACUGCAAGGUUAAAGAUGUGAGUCCCAAACUUCCAACAAGUAAGUCAUGGCAACAGGUAAAAAUCAGGUUCACAAGUGCUCCAACAAACCAGCCUGAAAAAUAUUGCAAUGUAAACAAUGAAGAAGCGUUAAGAUGGACGGAAAAACCAGUUAAAAAUAAGAAACAUGAAGCAAGCAGAUGAUUAAGUUAUGCAUUAGUGACAUUUUUCGAGUAUUAAGAGGAGGAUGAAUUUCGGCAAAUGAGAGAAGUCAACCCUGAUAAGUAUCCAUUGGAAUACGCUCAUCACUGCAUGGUUAGACCAAUGAGACAUGUAAUUCAUGGUCAAGGAAGCAUAUGGUUUCAACCCAGCACUGAAUAGUUUUACAUGUUCAAGUAGAGAUAGAUACUCAAACAGUUAACUUCCAAAAUAUUGAAAAUGCUGUAUAGCAUAACACAUAGGGUUGCACCACAGCUUUAGCUUUUCCACUUGUCAGACAUUUCCUAUGAGGUAAGAACUUUGCCCACACAACUCAGCAGUCAUCAUGGGAAUUCCCUUGCAAUAAGAUCCCAACCUAAACGAGAACUAAUGGUAUUUUAUUUCAGGUACAAUAUAGGUAGCUUCCAAGUACUGAGCGAUAAACAUCUCUUGCUACAAAAUCAAUGAUGGUUAAAAAUCUAGGUCCAAUGGGUGCUGAGAGUGCAGAAGUCAAAGGCAGUCCACAGUUCCAGAACCCCCUUUCCCCAAGAACGGGUGAAAGGGAAAAAGGCUGGACCAGUAUAAUUUCUGUUGCAGUUCAAGUAACACUAGAACAACUAGGACAAGUCAGCCCCCCCCCCCACCAAAACCCCCAGAAACUCUCCCAAUAUAGACUUCUGAAACAUGUCUCCCUCUGCACAAGAUUACUCCAGAAAGCCAUUAGUCGCCAAUGAACAGAAACAUGUGACAAAUGUUCAGGGCAACACUCCACCUUAUCCUAAACAGUUCUGAAUUCAUCAAAUGCAAAUGCCAAAAAAAGACAGUCUCAAAUCAACCAACAUGUCUCCUAUGUUUGGUAGAAUAAAGGAGUCAACAAGGGAAUUAGGAGAGCUUACCUUCCCUUUGAACGCCAUAUAACAAGAAUCACAUCCUCAUUUCAUCUCAGCCAUGAACUUCUCAUACUCUGAGUCUGCACCAUAGGUCUUCUCUGCAGAUGACACAGGUGGAGGCACAGGCGGAUUGGAGGCCCAGGGAACAUUAGUCACACUCUGUGACUGGUCCAGAGUAGGGGGAGGAGGUGGUGGUGGUGGUGGUUGUGCCAUAUUGUAGUAACCUUGAUAGCUGUAUGACGGUGUUGAAUACUGGCCAUUUGGUGGAAUAGCAGCAACAGAGUUACCAUAGGCAUACGUGGGAACAGAUUGAACAGGAGUUGUGCUCUGAUGAGAUUGGACUCCAGGUGGGUAACUUUGCUGUGUAUCAACAGCUGAAGCAUACGUCUGUUGUGUUUCAGCAGAAGACACAGUUGUUGAUGGAACAGCUGAAGUUGCUGUCUGCAUUGGAGGAGGAUACUGUACUCCAUAUGGAGGGACAGGUUGCCCAGUAUACAUGGCCGACCCGGGAGGAGGAGGAGGGUAAGAGGCAUAAGGAGGAGGAGGAGGAGGAGGUCCCCAUGGAACUAGAGCUCCUGUGUAGCUUCCAGGUGGUGGGGUUCCAAGAGGCCCACCUGCAGCAUACUGCUGGGAAGGAUAAGCACCGGUUGGUUGGGGAGGAGCAGGGUAUGUAGGCAUCGCAGGGGCAGGAGGGCCUGGAGGCACAGUGGGUUGAGGCGGUUUACCAGCCACUCUGACAGCUAUUGUCCUACCAUCCAGACGAUGACCAUUCAUGCUAGCAAUAGCAUUAUUAGCCUGUUGAACAUCAGCAUACUUAACAAAACCAUAGCCUUUACUCAGACUAGUGACGCGGUCCUUGAUAACCUUAGCCAUAACAAUUUCACCAAAAGGAGAGAAUAGGCUGAUUAAACCAUCAUCGUCCAGAGUGGGGGGCAAGUAUCCAAUGUAGAGAUUGGUCUCAUCGUAUUCCUUGGGCUUGAUCAGGUUUGCCCCUAAGCCAGGCGUGGUGCUACUCACACCACUAUUAUUGCUGCCGUUGCUGGCCCAAGGAGGAUUGCUUCCAGGAAUACCAGGAAGAGCAAGAGCUGCAGAACUUUGUUUGGUUGAAGAUUCAGGAACAGUCCCACCCAACUCAGCCAGGAAGUUCUGAUAUUCGUCAUCCAUCUUCUUGCCUGUGGUAUUCUUCACUGGACAGUCAAUAGUGGGGUGCCCACCAUCGCCACAAAUCUUACACAGAACAUCACUUUUAAAUGUUGAAGUUUUAGACGGACAUGCAUACUGCCUAUGGCCUGGUUCACCACAUAACCUACAAUACUCCUCGUCUCUAAUAGUCCCAUUCAAAGCAGCAAGCUCCCUGAGCUGUUGCCUCUUAUGCUCAUUAAGCACUUCAUCAACAGGCUGCAAGAGCUUCUCCACCAUGGCAGCGGCUGCAUCAAGUGACUCCUGAGUUUCAGCUUCCACCAAAACAUGUAAAUCUUCAUUCUCUGAGGGAUCGGGCUUCAAGUCCCUUUUCUGCUGUAACCUACCUUCCUUCACAGAGCCUUUACCUCGAAUAACAAUCUUUGCGCCUGUCUCUCUUUCCAUCCUCUUCUGAGUAUUACCUCUAGGCCCAAUAAUCAAACCAAUAAAAUUAUAACCAGGGAACUCUUUCAUCGGGAUGUAGAGCUUCUUCUGAAGCUUAGGAGGCCUGUAAUCAGCAGGUGGCUUAAAAGCGGGAUUUUUCUUGAGUAUUUGGGAUAUAAUCUCCUGCCUCUCCCUAUUCAACUUCUCCCGUGCACGAUAUUCCCUAGUAUUAAUCCUGAUGCCCAUAUUAUCGUAAAUAGGUUCAGGCGAAGGUGAGCGUGCACCUUCAGGCCUGUCAUCUAGGGGCAAACCAGAUUGCAACUUUCGAGUAAUCUCAAUCAAUCUGCUAUUAAGAGCUUGAAUUUCAGGGUCAAAUUCAAUACCUCCAGUAAGCUCCUUCAUGAAAUCCGGCAACUGAAUCACCGGCUGCGGCUGAUCAUCCGCCCACCUAGAUUUCCUCUUCCUCCCGCCAGUCCCUGUCCCCGUCCCAUCGCCUCCUCCGGUCCCAGCCCCACUUCCAUCGCUGCUGGCCUCGCUCGGAGGAGGAUCCCACCUGCUCCUGCGCCUUCGCCUGCUGGUGGUCUCCUCUUCACCUCCCGACUGGUCCUUGUCGGUGCCGCUAUGCGUGUUGGUCAAGCCAUUCUCAGAAAGCAACGGUCUCAGGACCUCGAGUUUCGGAGUACUUUCACUGUUCUCUCCGGUUAAAACCUUCUCCUUUAUCGGCUCACCCGCAACGGAAUUCUCGAGUCCGCUAUUCUGCUCGAACUUAGUUAAGGUUUCUUGAAGCUUGUGGUUGUAAGACUCAUAAUUUUGUUGGGAUUGAUCCUGAUCUUGAGAUUGGGAGUAGGAAUAAGAAGAAUUGGAGUAAUUUUGGUAGUAAGAUGAAUCUAGGGUUUGGGAAGAGUACUGAUCGUAGGAGUAUUGCGGAGGAGGAGCAGGAGGGUUUUCUGAAAAAGAAGCAGUAGAUUGAGAUUGAGGGUUUUCCGAGUAGCUGGAUUGAAGCGCGUCCAUCAGACGAUGGAUGAAAAAGCGGAGUUGGGGAAAUUAAUUGCGAAUGGAUUUGCAGAAGGGGAAGAGAUGAGUAAAAAUCGAUUGGAGAAGAAGAGGGAAGGUGGGGAUGUAUUUAUAUGAGGGUUGGGUUUUAUAAUCCUUGGUCUGGCCGUAAACGUCCUCAGAUCGAUCUAGCCAUCUAGGGUUGGAUUAGGAUAUCCUGGUUCAGAUGAGGCGGUUCACACAUUCUCGCUGCUGCUGAUUCAUGGCUUUGUGGCCCGUAUGGGUUUCGUAUGGGCCUGUGUUUCAGCCUGUUGGGUAUCAUGGGCCUAAAAUGCAGGAAUAAGAUUUUUGCGGUCUCCAAAAGAUAGUCGAUGCUCUUAGGGGCAGGCGAGGUCCCCCUAAUUUGAGAAGAGCACGCGCCGCACCUACUUGAGUUUUGAUGGACUGUAUACUUACAAAUUCGAAUUGAAUAAAUCCUACUAGUUAUUAUUCGAAUUUGAGUUCAAAUUCAUCAAAAUCAAGCUCAAUUCAAGUCGAAAAUAUUCGUUAAGGGCCAAAUUCAGCAUAUCUCAAUCACAUGAAUCAUCUCGGUGAACUCUACCGGUUUAAUCAGCUUACAUUAUUGUAUUCAGGCUGUAAGCUUUUCCAUACGGAGAAAACAAAUCUUAUUUUUUAUUUCUUUAGUUGCACAAUGUUUUGAAAUUUUGAAAUUCAGUGCGCGGGACCUGCAACUGCAAGCUGCAAUGUACGAGUUGUUACUAAAGGAAAUUGCUUGUGCAACACAACAGUCUAUUUGUUAAGCUUGCAAAGUGAUAAGAUGAUAUGACAAGAAUGCAUUAAUCUUUUUGGGUAGGUAAGAAUGCAUUAAUCUACUAUCAUGUCUUCACUUUUCUCUGCCGAAAUAACAAGAAUUAUUUCGCUUUCUCCUCUAAAUCACACUCCAAGGACCAUUUUGAGAGCAUGUUGGGUGCAAAUGAUACUACUUUUAUCCAUCUAAAUCACAAUUAUUUCGGUGUCUUCACUUGUAUCCAUCUUAACUGCCUUAUGCGCUAAUAAAGCGUGUUAAUACUUGCAAUUGUAAUUCAUAAAUUAUUGUUUUCAACGAAAACUAUAGCUAAAGUAUUUCUAAAAAGACCCGUUUAGAUCAAAUAGAUGUUUUGAUACGCUCUUCACAUAUUCUUAACUGCAGGAUGCUCUAUUUGAAUAUUCAAUCUACAGCCCACAGAAGGAUUUGAAAUCCCUUUUGGUGGCCAGUUUUAUCUAAAACAAGUUGAUUAGAUCGAGUUUAGUACAUGCAAAUACAUAAGCAAGCCAUCAAAAAAUUCAAAGCACCAUCUUUCUCUUCCCUCGUCCAUCAUGAUUGGUGCAUUUAAGACAUUACAGCAUAUAUCACGAAAUUGUUGAUAUUUCUCUCACAAAAGAGCCAUUUCCAUUUAAGGGCUGCCUCUUCGACUUUUAUUGCUGAAGAGGGUGUUGCAUAGAGGUGGCAAAAUGGAUAAAUGGUUCAUAAUUGGUUUUGACUUAAUGGAUGGUGGAUAAAAUUUAUCCAAUCCAUUUAAAUCCAUUUAAUAAAUGGAUUUAAAUGGAUGGAUCUAAAUGGAUUAAAUAAAAACCAAUUAUCCAUUUAUAAUCCAUUUAAAUAUUUUACUAAUUCCCUUAUUCCACAUUUUUCUAGUUUAGAAGACAGCCCAUGGAAAUGUAGUAGCUGAUUAGUCCAAACUUACGAAGACUCCCCAAGUCCUCGGACAUCUUUUUCUGAGCCUCCGAGGCCAACACCCAACAUCAACUGACCGCAAUGGCGAGAGCGAUGGCCCAUUGGCUGGCGAGCCGUUUCAGAAGUUCAUUUCCUUUCUGUUUCUUUUAUUUGGUUUUUAAGUAAAUGGAUAUAUAUGGUUUUUGUGGAUAAUUCAUAUAAAUCCAUUUAAUUUAAUGGUUUUACUUUGAUUAACCAUUUAAAACCAAUACUAUAAAUGGAUAAUCCAAAUCCAUUUAAUUAUGGAUUAUAUGGAUGGAUAAAUGGAUCUCAAUCCAAAUUGCCACCUCUAGUGUUGCAAGCUUUCUGCUACAUAAGUCCGAUAUGCAAAAGCAUUUUAGCGCAGCUUAAUUCACAAAACAAACUGCAAAAAGAACAUCAAAGAGAAAAGAUUACAACCGGUAGACAGCCAAGUCCCAGUCAUGAUGGUCUACUCGGAAGCAGAUGACUUGCGCAGCGCAAAAGGCCCAUGACGCCUUUCUCUAAAUUGGGUCUCCAUCCUCUUGCAACCAUCCAAGACAGCAGUCAACUCGUAAGGGGGAGCAUCAGUGGCCAACCACUGCUCAACAUAGAAUAUGGACUGACUACACGCUUUGUGUGGGCCCGUGGAGGUGACUUCGAUGUAGUCACAGUACCAACCAUGGUGGGCUCCAGAACCAUCAGAGGUCAAGUUGAGCCUGCAAACGGGUGAACUUAUGCAUGGGCCUCGUCCAGUAAAUAUAUCCAGACUGCCCCUCUCAAAGUAGUCAUGUUGUGGGCCCAUUAGACCCCAAUCCCUGAGAUUUGGGAUCCAAACUGAUUUUCCUGCGGAGUCGCCAAGAGUGACGCUAAUUCUGGAGUCAGUUCCCGCCUUUACGAUGCUUCCAGUUUGUACGUAGAGAGUGUAUACGCAUUCAUUCUGCAACAAAAGCAGCAUUCAACAUUGCAGAUAAGGCCAAAAAAAAAAAAAAGAAAAGAAAAUAUUUUAUGAUCAUGUAACAAAAGUUGUCUAUAUUUUUCGGCAAAUUUGUCUGGUCAAAAGCAAUUCUGAUAAACCCAUAAUCUGCGGCAGCCAUGCAUGGAUUUUGAAAUGAUUCUGGUUGCAUGAUCUAAUGAUUUUGCUGGUAGAGUUUGAUUUGAUCAGAUAAAGUAUGAAGAUACCAAGAUCAAAGGCCAGAGCAUCUUCAUUCAGAAGAGUGUAGCUGGGAAACAAAAAGAAAAAUGAAACAACAAGAACAAGAAGGAAAAAUGAAAAAUCUUCCUACUUUGCAUGCACCAACGCAAAAAGAACGUUGAACGCCAUAAAAAAUGAGCACCAGCAAGCACGAUCUAAGAUAAAUGUUUAACCAACUACUCAUCUGUAGAAGAUCAGCUUCAGAUUACAGCCGAUUCAGUCAGUAACUACAGAGAAAAAGCUUGUUGAAAAUUUGUGGUCUACAGCAAUAUAUACUAAGCCGCUACGCAGAUUGGCUUAGGUUCGAAUCAGUGAAUUUGGAUCGCAUCUUCGAAUUCACGAAGAAGAUCGCCUAGAGCUGCUGCUUGACUAGAAAGCAGAUUGAUAUAUUAUUACAUGCAUAAAGGCAAUAUUGCAAGUACGUCUGAGAUUGAUCCGAGUAAUUAAUGCAAUGCCCAGUAGUAUAUACUACCAACGACGAGGGAAUGUAGUAGUAGAUGUUAAGAGAGGUUUACAGAUGGAUGGGCGGCAACAGCAGAAGCUAAGACGACGGUGGCGAGUAUUAGCAGCAUUGAUGAUGAGAAGUGGCGACUCGUCAUCUUCUUCCUCCCUCGUAGCAAGAUCUGUUAUUUGAGCGUGACAUAGAAAAUAAAAAUACUGCUGCUUGAGCACAAUCAACUCCACUCUACAGAGGUAUAUAAACGGUUCUGGUUCUGCACUACUAUUACUGUAUUCAUGGGUUUGAUCGGUUCAAUGCAUCACCGAGUCCCUCGUCAUUGUUUGUUGUUCGUAACCUGUAAGGACCGACCACUGCCUGUAUAAAUUAAUUUUGCAUUUUCCUCCAUUGAGCUUUAGUAUUGCCACUCACCCAAGAAUCAAGACUGACUACCUUUUUCCUCCCAAACUAGAAUUUCGCCCUGCCUCAGCACAGUCUCUUUUCUUAUUUAUUAUGAAUUUAUAUAAAUAUGAAUAAUUUAAAUAUGAAAAUUAACAACGAUCCCACAUGUUCAUUCAUAUUAAUUUUAAAAAAUUAAUGUAUGCUAAAUAUUCAAUUAUUUACUAAUUUUUUAAAAAUUUAUUUACAUACUUUCACUAUAGUAUGAUAGUAUAUAUCAAAUAAUAUAUCCCAUAUAAAAAACUUGGUAUAUAUUCUUUUUUUUAUAAAUAUUUUUUUAGAUAAUUUAAAUUUUUAUAAUGAUCAUAAAUCUAGAACUAUAUAUUCACAUUUAAUCCAAUAAAUAUUAAGUAGAACUAUAUAUCAAGUAGAAAAGAUCCGGCAAUCCAGAUUUUUUCAUCAAUAAAUAUUUGGAUAAAAAUUUUUUUUUUUUCCCUCGCAUACAUGUCAUAAGUUUGAGAGAAGACACUUAAGACUAUCGUCUUUGGAAAAUUUUAUCAUUAUCUGAAUCAACUAGAUGAAAUAAUGUCAACUAAACAAAUAAGGACCCCAUGAUCUUAUUUGAAUUGUAAUUAAUGUGCAAUUAGUGGAUUUCGCAAUCUUCGUUAAACUAUUUUUAUUAGUCAACUUUGCCAAGCAGUUGAUUCGGACCGUCACAAAAUGUCUCUGUCAUGCUUAGGUUACUUUUACGGGAUGAGUUAAAGGUCUAGACCACUUUAAUGGGCCAGUAUGAAAUAAAGCCUUCUGGGUUUUGAAUCCCCAGUCCCUAUCAGGCAUGGCUAUUUUUAGGCAUAGCAAAGGGUGGGAUGCGCAAUUUCUUGGUAAUUUUCGUUACCUUCGUCAGCCUGUCCUUUUAACUCCUGAAAGCGUGGUUUCUUAUGAGUAAACGAUUUUAAUUAACUCUUCUAGCAAAUCCUUAUACUAUAUAAGAAUGAGUUUAGGGUAAAUAUGUUCUUUGGAUUUCAACCGUAAGGGUAGGGCCAUUUUGGGAAUGUAAGAGUUUGAAGUGCAAUUGGAGUAUUGAAUACAAGUCAUUAUAGCUAAUUUAGUUUUGUUGUAAUUACUUAGAUGUCCUUUUAGACAUUUAAAGCUAGGGGUGAUAGAUAUCCGAUUGAACAUUGGGUAUAACUAAAUUCAACUUGUGUUUUAAUGAAAUAACAUGAAAGCCCUUCUAAUCAUUUAAUUGUAUUAACAUCCAAGUCGCUUAAUUUUCUAAAGCAUUUCUCAUCAGUUAUCUGCAAACUUAUGAUAUAUAGAUAUUAAAACACAAUUAAUGCCAAUUUGUAGAGAAGUUUGCUUUCUUGGCCGUUACCCCCAUCUGUUCAUAUUCAUUUCAUUUACUUACAACUUUCUUCCACCACAAUCAUGUAGCCUAUUAAAUUUGGAUAUUGCUAUAUUAACUACUCCUCUUUCCCAUUUUGCAACACCUUUCUCAAUAAGUAUAUUUUCUUUAGCCAAUCUACUUUUUGGUUGUAAGAAAUCUCAAUAGGUAUGUUUUCUUUAACCAAUCUACUUUUUGGUUGUAAGAAAUCUGUAAUCUUGAAGGUUGUAUGUGUGAUAAUUUUUUAGUAUUUUAAUUCAAUUGUCCAUAUUAGGUAGGCAUGACAGGGAGGAGAUCACAUUUGUUAAUUAUUAUUUGUGGUUUAAAGUAAGUUUGUCAUUAUAAAUUUUCCCAUAUGCAGAUUGCAUCUACUUUUGUUGUUUUAACUAUUAGUUAUGAUAAUUUUCAAAUUGUUUGUUAUUUUAUUGAUGAUUCCAUUUAAGCAAAUUUUUCACUUCAUUUGAUUUGCCAAUAGGUUUAACUAUUUACUUAAAACUAUUUGGCUGCAAAUCUAAAGUAUGUACUUCAUUACUUUUAAUUGUUUUCUUGAAUUGAGUGGUCUAAAAUGUUUUAGUACUUUAUUUGACGUGGUUAUUCCUUUAAAUUAGCAUUUUAGUUGUUGUAUAUCUUUGCAACUAGAUCAAAAACUGAUGUUUAGUGAUUGUAAUCCAGAUGCUUUACUAUAUGUUUUAAAUUAUACAAUAAAUCAUAAUUGAUGGAUUGGUGAAUAUGGAGAUUUCAUGAUGAUAUGUCAUUGGAAUCAAUAUAAAUUCAAGAAUUUGGCUUGCAAGAACCGAAAUUCCACUAGCAAUGAUUUUUUUCAAAUAUGCUAAUUGUUCAAAUCUCACUUAUAUGACAAGAUAAUAUGGUGGAUUGCCUUUAUAUUAAGAUCAAAUUCAAACUAAAUAAUACAUUUUAAUAUCCAUAAAGUGCAUGAGCAGAUAUAAAUAGGUCUUUUAUUUUAUUAGGUUAGAUGCAAAAUAGUUGAUCGUAUCUUAUAAUUUUGUUUCAUUGCAUAUUUGUAUAUUUAACUUAUGAUGUAACUCAAUUAGUAUAUGUAUCUUAUGAUUUAACUUAUGAUCAUAUCUUAUAUUUAACUCAAUAUGUAACUUAUGAUUUUUCUAUUUAAUAUCAUAUAUUAAAAUUGUCAUACUUCAAUUUUUAUAUUAUAAAAUAUCAAAUAAUAAUUAUUAACUAUCUUUAAUUAUAAGUACUAAACUCCCACGCGUGGCGUGGGCUUUUCCUCCUAGUACUAGUAAUAAAAAAACAAAAGGAAACGUGAAAACCCAGCUAAAUAACCAAAGCUUCUUUUCGAGUUUCAACGGGUCCUUUUCAACUCGCCGGAAUUCAUCCCAAAUCCAAGAAGAAUCACUCCUCGACCUAGGGUUUUUUGGAAUCCCACCACAGCAAUCGCCUGUUGAAUUGUAAUUGGGUUGGGGAAUAGCCGAUCAGGGAAAAAAAAGGAUGGUACUCAAGCAGAAGAUUCACGAAGCAUUCAAGGGUGCGGUUGAGAGUAUCACAAGCCAUCGAACGGUUUCCGCCUUCAAGGAGAAAGGCGUCCUCAGCGUCAACGAGUUCAUCAUCGCCGGCGACAACCUCGUAUCCAAGUGCCCUACUUGGUCGUGGUAUACUUCAAAUAUUUCGCUCAUUAUAUCCGCAUAUAGUACUAAUUCAAUUCCCAAAUUGCCGACGAAUACUUUAUAAAACUGUAGCCUAGCUUUGAAUUGGUAAUGAUACAGCUGAUAUUCGAGUUGGUGGUUAUACUUGAUUUUGGUAUUAUGGUUUUGUACUUGUGGCAGCUAAGUAGUAAUAGCAUAGGCUCUUGAAUAUCAAAAAUUCUGUACCAUUCCUGUCUUUAAGCUCAGGCGAGGUUCUAAAUUCAUUUACUCACACUUAUGGUUGGUAGAGCUCUAUUUUAAAUCAGCUCUAGUUGUGUAUGGAAAUUUUGAUGUAGCUAAAACUUUCUUAGGCCUUAGUGAAAUAUAAUUAAGGGGUUGUUUGCGCACGUGAGCAAUAAACACACGGUUUUGAUGUUGCGAUUUUUUUGCCUUUUUUGAUAGAUCUUUUGUGCGAUCUUGAGAGUAUAUCUUUCCCUGGAAGUGGCUGUGUGUAAUCAACCAUAAUUAUCUUCUUCCUAAAACUUACGAUGUUGAUUGAGCAGCAGUUCUCCUCAAUUGAUUCCUCUUUCUAAUAGGCCACUUAAUCGCUAUGAAGACUGUUGGUAGAAAAUUAUGUGUAGGGAGUGUGUGCAUGUUUAUUAAGUCUAUGCAGUAUAUUUUGCAUUUUCACUGCUUCUAAGUGCUACUUCAUUGGUAGGGAAUCAGGUGAGCCAAACAAGAGGAAGCCGUAUUUACCUGCCGACAAGCAAUUCUUGAUAACAAGGAAUGGUACGGGUUAUAUUUUUGGUGCCUGUUUUCUUUACUUGCUAUUUUAUUUUAUAUUAUUGUUUUUGUUCAUAGCUUCCCUUUUUUUUUUUCCUUUUUGAUUGAGCGAAUUGAUGUGGGUGGCAUUUUUAAUACCUUGUGUGUGAUUGUGACUUUUAACACAUUCAACUUUUAUUAACUCUGAAUGUUUUGUUAAAUUUCUUUAGAAUGAUUGUGGAAUUGUGAGUGCUGAAAGUAAUGGAGUACUUUGUUACAUGAAACCCUAGGCUACAAUACAUAUUUGUCCAUUGAAAGUUUGGCUACCUCACAGUUUUACUUAUAGAUUACGUCUCUCAAUCUAACUUGCUUGUGCAAAAGGAAAUUCAGAUGUCUAUAAGGAUCCAUCACGAACCUUUAAAAACCAAAUUUGAAGAGCAUAAAUAGGCACAAUUACCAGUGAGUGAAUGAGUUAAAAUGCAUGAAAGUCUGUACCAACAGUCCCCCAUAACCAAUUGUUGAAAUAAUUCUUUUUUUUUUCAUGUGACGAAUUAUGGUGGAUUUGAACAUUCUUUUAAAAUGUAAAUUUUCCUCACUCACCCUGAAAAGACUUAUUUUAUAGGUCAAUGGCAAGCCUGUAAUUUGUGGUUCCUAAAUCAAGGUUGAAUCUGUACAAUGAUCCGACUGUAUGGGUUUUGUCCUUCCAGAAUAAUAUAUUUGAGCUUCACAUAAUUAAGCAUUUUAAUUUUUUGGGCAUGUUAUACCUUGCAAAAUUAAAUUGGCCAUAGUCCACUGCAUUUCACUUCGUCUUAAAUGCCAAUUUGAGGAUUUUACUAGCUCUAGGGACACAAAUCGAGUAAUAUGUAACGGUUCGCUAUCUAUGUUCUAAUAACAAGGUUUUUUGGCAUUUGACUGUUGAAAUGUCAUGCUUUUUGCACAGAGCAUGCAUUUUCUGUCGACUGUAAAGAAGCCUUGCUCAAGCUGUUCUAUUUAUUCGGCAUAUGUUUUACUUAGAUACGUGGCAUUUUUUUUAUGUUGUUUUAGAUUUUGUAUAAUUUGAAUAUGAAAAGUUAUUAGAGAGAACAUUAUAAAAUUUGAUUAUCCAAAAUCAGAAUUUAUAAAACAAGAAAUCACCAAAUAAUCACUUCAUGCCCAAAACAACUAAAUUACUAAAAUUUUACUAAUGCUUAAAAACUUCUAAAUAAUUAGAAAUAGGAAACAUAUAGUUUGUUCCGUUGUUUGAGUAAUUUGUUAAGCCGCCUCAAUCGAGUUGACAAGGACAUCAUUGUAUAAAUAUAAGAGAUAUUAAAAGUUGAAUCCUCAAUCCUCAUUUGUAUAAGAAUAAUGAAAUGAAGAAAUAUAAAUAUAUUGGCUCGAACAAUUUAUUUAUUUUUCUGAAGAAUUGAAACCAAUGCUAACUUUUAGUCAAUUUCUUGGUAUCCAAACAAAAUAAAGGAAUUUUAUAGUAGGAAAUCAAUCUAAGAUCGACUUUCCAAAUGAAUGCAUGUACUAAUUAAUUAGCAGAUCAUUGAAAUAAUCACAUCCGAUUUCCUUACGGCACAAGAUGCUUGCGUAGAUACCUAGUACGAUAAUUUUAGAAACCUCCCAUGAGAUUUUUAACUAUUUCAUUAACCUCCCUUUAGGUUUUGAAAAUUACAUAUACCUCCAUCGAGACUUAUUAUCUUAUAACAUCCAAAUCCAACAAAAAAUUAAAAAGUGAUAUUAGAGGAGAGAAGUUAAUAUGAUUUCAUCAUUGUCCCCAUCUAUUAAAUUGUUUAAUUAAUAUAAUUCCAGGCUAAAUAUUAAAGAAAACACUAGAAUUUGCGACUUAUCAUCAGGGUUUAAAUCAUAUAUGGCAUAAAAUAGGAUAUUAUUCCGUGUAUUUUACUUAAUAUAAGAUCUAAAUUACUCUUUUCACUUAUGAACACAUUGUCAAAUAUGACCAAUAACAAAUAAUAAUAAAAAAAUCAGCAACCAAAAUAUUACAAGAAACGAAUUUUAAUACCAUAAAAAUCUCAGCAACUAACGUUAACAUUUUGAUAAGAAUAUUUAUGAUGUUAAAGUUUGUUCUUUGUAAUAUUUUAGUUGCAAAAUUUUUGAUUAUUUAUUGUUGAUCAUAGUUGUUAAUGGGCAUGUAAUUAAAAAGAGUAAUUUGGAUAUUGUGUUAAGUGAAAAUAUAAAAUGAUAUAUUAUUUUUGGUACUAUAUAUAAUUUGAUCUCUAAUAAUAAACAACAAAUUUUCGUGCUUUUCUUUAAUGUGUAAGUUGGUAUUAAAUUAAUUAAAUAAUAUAGUAGAUGAAAGGCAACGAUGGAAUCAUGUUAUCUUCUCUUUUCUAAUAUUGUUUUUUAAUUAUUGGUUGGAUCUAAAUAUUACAAGAAAAUUAAACUCGAGAGAAAUUAGUAUAAUUUUUAAAAUUUGAAAAAAAGUCAGUGAAAUAGUAAAAAACCUUAAGAGAGGUUUCUGAAAUUAUCCCAUACCUAAUAAACCCUUUUAUGCAAAUGCAAUUGUUUUGUGACAUAACGAUAAUAGACAACAAAGAACCCAUAGAAUACUAGAUUCAGCAAAAGGAGAGGGACCAGUUUGAAAAAAAAAAAGAGCAAAAAUCUCACUACGCUACAAGCCUACAACUUCCUAGAGAGACAGAACUCUAUUCCAUUCUAUUCCAUCCAUAAAAAGUAUUUAUCCCUUCUCCUCCAACAAAUCAACCUCAAAAAAAGAACUAAAAAGAAAAAAAACCAGUCCAACACCCACAGCGGCAUUGACAGAGAGAAAAGAAGCACAUGAGGUCAUUUGGUGGUGGCAGCAGAGGCAUGGGCGGAGGAGGCAGCGGUGGUGGGAGCGUGCAGAUGCUAAGAAGUGUUCAAAGGGCUGUGAGAGCCCGAACUGUCGGCGGUGGGGGUGGCGCAGCCCAUGAACCUUUCUCUCAUACUCACCCCUCCACUACCAACACCGCUACUACUACUACUCUUGGUAGAACGAGACAAACUACUUGUAACAAUAACAAGAACCAGCCCAUCACGCUUUCUUCUUCUUCUUCUUCUUCUUCUUCUUCAACAGCUUCAUCUGCUAUAUUUUCUCCAUGCAACAAUCUCCUGCCAACAACAGUAUCAACCGCUGCACCACCCCCCUGGCCUUCUUCUUGUUCAUCGCCUACUUUUACGGAUGAUUCUGAUUGGGAGUGUAUCGAUGACUGUUAUGAAGACUUCGUUUUUGGGACUGUUCCAUCCAAGGACGAGGUCCAUCAUGCAGUUUUUGCUCUCCAGGAGUAAGUUUCUUGAAUUCCAUUUUUUCAUUUUCUUUUUUUCAUAUAAUUUCUUAAAAUUUUGGAAUGAAUUAUCACUUAGUUAUCAUUAACUUUCCAAGGAUGAAGUUUCGUACGGGGUAUCUCUAUUCAAGGAUGGAGUAUAAGGAAUACAUAUUGCUUGCUUAAUUACGGAGAUUUGUCUGACAUCUAAUUAAUAUGGUUAUUUUCCUAUAAUAUCAUUAUACCAUGGAUAUUUGGUUGUUGGAUUUUAUUUUUGGGAUGCUGAUGUUGACUUUGAUGUCGACGUCGGGAGUCAAAUAUUCGCCUUAGUGUAUCAGUCCCUAGGGUUGGAUAGAUCAGUCAAACAAGUUUCUCUAACCAUUGAAAAAAAAUCCCAUAAUCAUUUGCAACACCCAGCUAUGCUAAUUUGACAUAUUUAUGCUGUUGCUUUAUUGUUGAUAAUUAUGCCAUACAAAGAGUACCAUAAGAACCAAAAUUCGUGGUGGUUUACAACUUACAAGCCUUGGAACCCCAGAGACUAUAAAUGUAGAAAACAGCAAGUUAUAUACAAAAAUUAGUUCUUAUUGAGUACUGGGAUUUCUUUUGCCUCCUCGUUUGAGAUUUUACUAAAAAUAAUUAAAGAACAGAGCAUAACGUAAUUCUUAUGAAGCUUAUGUUUACAUUAGCAGUUAAGUCUUGGCAUCAACUCACAUUUCAUUGUUUCAUUGUGAUAAUAUUGCCAUUUCUUGAAAUUUUGUAAUUCUCAGGGUACUAGAUCCAGCCUCAGCUAAAUGUUUGAUCGACGACAUACCUGCAUACAAUUUGGAUGCUGACCUAGGUGGUCAAGUAUCUAGCCUCACUGGUUCCCUGCAAAGAUCUUCUCCAUUUGGCAGCCAGUUGGAUUGGAUGGAGCCCUCAUUGCAACUCUGCAGCCAGAGCACGUUGCAGGCUCAUGAUCGAGUUCAUGAUGCUUUGCACUUGCUCAGGAACGAACCUUCAGUUCAGGUUUAUUUUGCAUGUCAUGACUAUUUGAUUGUUAUUGUUUAAGCUUUGGCGUUAAAUGAGUUUUGCAGGAGUUGAUGGUUAAGAAUGAUCGGCAUCAGGAUCAUGUGAAGUUUUUGUGAUAAUUAAGAAGAAUUUGGAAAUGGACUAACUUAAAAAAAAAAAAAGCCCUUUAUUGUCGUCUUAACAAUUGUCCAAAACCAAAUAUUUUGAAUUUUGGUUAUGGUAAUAUUAAUCUGUAAUUCUUGGAAAAGUUGAGGGAAGAAUCAGAAUGAAUCAUUGAAGGAAAUAUAUGAACUUGGAAAAGCAUCAGUUGUGGAUCUACUUGCUUGAGUAAUUUAGUUGUUUUUAACAUCUCGUGAUAGCAAAUUCCUCGCAAUCUUUUGUAGGGUUUAUUGUCUUAACCAAGAUUAGCUUUCAUGUCAUAUUUUCUAAAUAGAAGCUUUCGCUGCUUAAUUGAUAGAGAAUGGUGGUAUCACUAUCUUCUGAUAAAGCUGUUUGGGAUGCUGUGUUGAAUAAUGAGGUAGUUCAGGAGCUCAGAGGGUCUCUCAGUCAAGGUUUGUAGUAAGUCCAGAAAAUGGGACGUUAUUUCCUCAUUAUAAUUGCGGUAUUAAUGCUUGCAAUUGUUGCCAUUCAUAGUUUCUUUGUUGCCCAUUAAUGUUGUUCUGAUACAUGAAGCAGAUAAAAAUCCUGCUGAGAAAUCAGAUGAUGGUUCUGAUGCUUCUGAUCCAGCAAGAGACUUUCUAAGUUGGGUAAUUGUCAACACCAAAGCGACAGUUAUGGAGCUUGUUGACAAGAUUACGAAGCUAGUAAAUGAACUAUUCCGCACCGAAGGAGGAGGAGGAGACAGGACAGCUGAUAGAAAAGCAGAUCCUUUUGAUGAAAAGCUGAGAGCAUCGUUUCUGCUCUCGGUCGUGGUUAUGCUAAUCGUGGUCGUGGCUCGAUCAAGCAAGGCAUGAUCAUAAUACUCUAAUUUGUCGACCUAACUGGUGGCAUUUCCUGCUGUGUAGGAAACGUUGUCUGUUGUACAUUGUAUUUUAAGUGGUUUUGUAAGAGAAAAUGACAUUCAUGCAUCUGUUUUAUUCUGUUCGUUAAUUUUCUACAGCUCAAGAAGCUUAGACACCCAUAAGAAAAAAAAAAUCAGGGAGCAAAAUGGCCUGGACGAAAUUAUACCGGUCAAUGGGACAAAAUUUUGCGAAGUGUAUGAUAACAUAGAAAAUCAAUAUGGAUUUGAAAAAUAUGAAGAUGAAAAGAAUAUACCGAACCUAAAUAAGUCAAUAGAAGUUUGCAUUCAUCCAGUUACAUUAUUAAUAAAGAAAGAAAAAGCAGGUUCCUAAAAGAAGUUCCUCAACUGCCUAGAAGAUUUUGUAAAGCUGGAGCACCUGUACAACUAGCUACUGUGCAAGACUGAAAGUACACUUCUCAUUGACAUCGCCGAUAAAAGCCUAAUUAUCAGCAAAAUUCUCAAGUCAGAUAAAUCACCGGCGUCAGUAGAUGAUCAAUAUCUGGAGUAACGACAGCCCGCUUACUGACUUCUCCCAGAUUGCAGCAGUGUUUGUCUGAUGUGUUGAUUGCCACAAUAUCCUGAGCAAACGCACAAUUGGAACCAGGAGAAACCUGCAAGUCGUUUCAUCCUUCUAAGAGAAGCUCAUAAUAGCUACACAAUGUCUUGUUCAAGCAAUAACUGAUAAUGGCUAACAAACACACUGAAACUGCUUGUCCUAAAUUUACCAAAAAAAAGGAAAAAAUGAAGAAUUAUAGGGUAUUGUGCAAAACAGAGUAUUAUCAGAGCAAGCUCUAGGAAAGACCUGUGCACAUUGUCUUACUUGUCAAGCCCAGAUAUCAUAUGAAUGCACCAAAUCCCUGACUCAACCUUACCAUUGAGCCAGCCCUUAUCAGUACUUUGUUGAGAAAAGGAAUAUCAUAUGGUUUUCACUCAUAAGCACCCCAUAAUUACGUUGGAAGCAGAAUAAUAUAUAUCCAAAAAGGAAAUUAUUGGUUUAAAUCACCAGGAAAAAGCUAAGACAUAACUCACAUCGUACAGCAUAUCUCCGAGCUUCAACUUAACUGCACCACUCUUAAAGACCAAUAUUUUCCCCAUGAAUCCGGGUGGCAACUCCUCCAAACUGCAUACAUUCUUAUUUGUGCCAACGGAAGACACAGAGCUGUUAACCAUCUCUUUUCCCUUUGCAUCACCUGAAACCAUUGGAAAGCUACCAGGAAUCUCCUUCCCUUUUGCCGUGGUUGGAGCAACACUUCCACCUGGUCUAGAGCUGCCAGCUCUGUGUUUAUGAUUCAUGCUGGCUGAAGCAUGUUCAGAUGUACCAGUAGAACCUGGCCCAGAUUCCCGUUUAACAAAGGGGAGGUUAGCAGGAAACUGAAGAAAAAGCAUCUUCUCUCCAUCAACUUCUUCCUGUACAUCAAUAGCAAAUUCAUUAGCAAAAAGAAACUCUAAGAUCAAUCUGAUAAAUGUUCAAAAUAUGAAAACAGACACACUAACACAAAUAUAGCUACCAGCAGACCAAGAUCCGAUGCAGAAUUUAUAGCACUUUCAUCAUACUCCGAAGCUGCUUUAGCCUCCCCAAAUUCUUCCCGAUCAAGAACCUCUAAAAGCUCAAAAAGCAUACCAUUAACAGACAAAAAACAGUUAACAUCCCAAAGAAACAAAAGACUAGCAAAUUCAAGGUGACCAAAAGCCAAAAAAAAUAAAAUAAAAAGUUAAUCACUUAUGAUCACCUGAUUAAACUAGUUUUCUGACUUUUAGAUACCAGGAGAAAUCAUGUGAUUAAUUGUUUAGUGCAAAACUGCAAAUAUGUCCUCAGUAUACUUACUUAUCUCUACCACAGCAUCUCCCUGCAUUUAUACUUGAUAUCUCCACCGUAUAUUAAGCUGAAGCUAUGGGUUUGGUAUUUAAAAAUAAAAUAAAAUAAAAUUCUGUAGCUUAAAGUGUUUCAUAGCAACCCUUUCUUUACCUAAUUUUGUAAUGUCCCACUUCCGCUUCUUUUCCCAUGACAUUCAACAGAAUACUUCCUUGAAUACUCCACCAACUAAUGUAUCCAGUAAGUAAUUAGGCUCACAUAUAGUGUGACAAAAACAUUAGUUAGUAAACUUUUGAUGUCAUUGAUACUCAACACUCGUUAACAAUCAUCAUGGAGAAAACUAUCUCUGUUACUUAAAGCUCUACUUUAUCCCCUCUCAUGUAAUUGCAGUGUUGCUAGAAAAACCUGUACUCCAAAGCAAAAAAGUUUCUGCAUUAAAUUCUGAUGAAAAAAAAAAGAAUAAAAAGAUCAAUCUAAACACCCUAUCUGCUUUAUGCAGCAUCAAGUUUACUGUGUGCAACAACCAACAAAUCUCCAAGUAUGAUGUUCAAACACUGGAAAGAGAAUUUCUGUUGUCUUGAUUUCCUUUAAUUUAAUGCAAGCAUUCAUGAAAAAGCAAUAGCAAUGCAAGGACUUGAAGGGACUUCAAGAUCAGUAAGGAGGGACAACAUGUCAGCACUCAUCCUGUCAUCACUAAGAGUGAUUUGAGCUAUACCUGGGUUCCCAGAGUAAGGUCUUCUUAUGGGAAGAGUAACAGGAUAGUAGCUGUGGUUGUAAUCCUAAUACAGAAUAACAAAAAAGUAAUUAGUGAGUCCUUUUAUUUGUGCUCGCAAAGACUCAGUUUGUCUUAGACAUGAAAGAAAAAACAAACAACAUUUAUUACCCAAGGUUCUUUAUAUUCUCUCUUCUUCUGCUUGAAUGAAGUAACAGUGGCAUCUUCUGAACUUUCAACCAUCCAAUCAAUUUUACUAGUUGAAGGCAAAGAAUGGAUGUCCCCCAUAGUAUCUGCAGCAGAAUCUCUCAAUCCCGUGCCAUUACUUCUGUCACCGGAACCUUCCUUAGCUGAGCCAUAUGUCCUUAAAGAAGUUGAUGAUGCAACUCCAUGGCUAAAUGCAACUUGAACAGAAGCUGAAAGUUUAUACAAGCACAUGAGUUCAUAACCAACCGACCACUCAAUAUAAAGAACUAACAACAACUUAUGAUGCAGCCAUAACUACAUGUGCCUGUACAAAACCCACCGAGUAGGACAACUCUAUUCAGCUAAAAAUAUGAUGUAAACGAUCUCAAAGAACAAUGAUAUUUACUUUAAACAUUGUUCAUAUAUCCAAUAAUUUUGCAGCAGUGUUAAAAAUUUUGUCGCUUUAUAGUGUGCUGUUUAACCGAUCACUCUGGAUCACCGGAUUGGUCUUAUUUGAAUUGAUCAAUUACAAGUUUGGUGUUAAAGUGAAGUUGUAAUACAAUCAUCAAGUGAUAACUGAAUUCCUAACACGCACAUACACACACCCCCCCCCCCAAAAAAAAAAAGGGUAAGUGAAUGAGAUUACAUUUUUUCUCAGCUUGAGGCCAUCUUCUUGUCAGAUGCUCCUGUACACGAAGUGAGAUGAGUAACAUGUAUAACAAUGAAGGGCAUUGCACUUCCCAAAAACACAGAAAACUAAACCACAAAUAACUAGAGUAAAAAGGUUAUACAUUGUUCCAUUUCUACAAUAGAAGCUACUAAAGCCCCUUCUGCAUUCUAAAUAUGAGUUAUUAAAAAAAAAAAAAGAAAAGAAAAGGCAGGCCAUCAAGGGAGGAAAUUCAGCUUCACUUUUCUUACAAAACCUUAGCCCUAAUGCAUAAAAAUCUGCCAACGAUGUGUUUUUGAUGCCAUUAAGGAACUGAAGUAAGUGAUCAAGUAAUUAUUAAUUAACAAGCCAAAGUUAUGUGAGGUAGUAAAUGUAAGUUCCUCUUAGCUCUUCAAGAUUAAGGCUGUCCUUGAUUGCAAAAAUCUAAACAGCAGCAUGCAAAUUUUAAGCACGAUAAUGAUGCAUUUGGUAAAAGAGGACCUCCAAUGUCCGUUUAAUUGCAGACAAUCUCGUCUUGAUUGAUUUCUGUAAGUUCAUCUUCAAUUAUUCAGUCUAUAUAUUUCUUUUCCCCAAUUUGAGUCCUUUGCUUCAGUUAAAAUGUGUCAAAUAUCACAAGGUAAAAAACAAACCCAUACAAAAGCAAGCAGUAUAAUUCUGUACAUUUUUGGAACUAGCGUAAAACUUUCUCAUUAAAGAUUUACCAAUAUCAACAUACAUCAAUCUAAGAAAACAAAACUUCAUUUUAAAGUUUGCGUUAGAAGGGGAAAAAAUGAUACUAAAGGAUAUGUUAAUUUAUCCUGACCUUGUACGGUCUAUAAAAGUCACAGCUAUAAUAAUUAGUAUAAAAUGCAAUAUUGUCCAGCAUAACAUUAAACGCAUCAGUCCCUGCCUUUUACUAAAAGGAUUUUUCUAACGGCUCUAUGGAUACUCGUUAACACGCUUACAUUCCACUCAUAACCCAACCUAUCAUAUAUAUAUAUAUAUAUAUAUAUACAUACGCACACUAAUAAUUACGACUUUCUUUUACAUUUAUACAUUUUUUCCCAAUUAAUCAUCUUAUAUAUAUACAUUUUACUUAAUUAAUCUUUUAUUUUUAAAAAUCUGACAUUUGAAAUAUAUCUUAACAGACCGUUGCUAUACAUAAAUCUGAUAUAAAUAGCGAAUGAAGGCGCGAGCAUUACUUACGUUAACUUUGCGAAGGAGAGAUUCAUUAAUCUCGUCAUCUCCGCCAUGAUCACCACCACCAGCUACUUCACUGCCAAUUCACAUGUAUUAAGAGUUUCAAGCUAAGAAAAAAGACGAUUAAUUGGAAAUUUUUUUUUAAAAAAAAAAGGUGUUAGAGAAAAUUUAAGUGGUAACAGGAUAAAUACGGGAAAUACGUUUUGGGUUGAAGAGGUGUGGACUUCCUCUUUGGUGGAGGACCUUUAGGAGCAAAUUUGACCUGUGAAAAAUACAUGGCAAAUUGAGAUUAGAUCGCAAAUAAGGAGCAAACCAGGACGCGAAUGAAGGGAAAAUCACAAUUGAAAACAGAAGGGAAAGAAACAAGAGAAAGUGGUGCAGACCCUUCUAGGAGUAGAAGGGGAUAAAUUCGGUUCCAUGUAGCUUCUGGUGCAAUUCCAAUAAAUUAGAGCUCGUAAUCAGGAGAAAGGGCUAUGAUUAGACAGAUCGGAGCGACAGAUUACCGGAAUUCUACCGCAAAAAUCAAAGCGAUAGGCUUAAAAUCGGAGAAAGAUGAAGAAGACGAUAUGACCGGGAAAGAAAAGGGGGAAAAAACAUGAGCUGAAUCGAACCCUGGACGGACGUCUCAACGAGAAAUCUGAACCGCCAAGCCAAGGAGGAAUUUGUUGAGGGAUGGCAAAUUUUAACAAAAUAAAUAUAACAGCACACCAGAAAAAACUAAAAUAAAAAAAAGGGGAAAAACAGUGGCGCAAUUGAAAGUUCAUCUAGAGAUCUUAUGUCUGCACUUUCCAUUUUUAGUAAUUACUUCUUUGCAAAAUUCUCAGGUGUUUUGGACUAAAAUGAAAAACUCUACAAGAGACUUAAGAAUAUUUUGUCAUACAAUCUAAAUUAGAACUAUGGGAUUUGUUAAAAUUGAACCAAGAUAUCAAUUUCAGUCUCGUACAACUGUUUUUGGAGUAUUACUUUUAAAAUUUUGGUCCUCGUGCGACCAUCGAAGUUUUAUUUUUUCGAUUAACUUUCGUUGUUUCCCUAGCCAGUUAUUACUCCCAUAAAGCGUGAAGGAAUUGCUAGUAAUUACUGCAAGCUUGCAUUUGGGUUUGAGGGAUUUAAUGAAAUAUUUAAAAUUCUCAUAAAUCACUCCAUGUUCUGUAGAUAAUUUAGGAAGCAUUUGAAUUUAGAAUUCAUCUAUUAUUUUAGUAUGUAAAUAUGUUUAAAUAAUUGAUAAAUUACAAAUUUGAAUGCCUCUUAAUUAAUGCAAACGAUCGAUAGAGAUUUGACAGAAUUUCAAAUUUCUUCUCACAUCCCUCAAUCUCCUGUAGGAUUUUUUUUUAAAAAAAACCAGAGUUGUCCCAAUUCCAAAGUAAUAUAUACAAAACUGUAAACUUCGUCACACACUACUGUUUCCUCACUCUUUCAAGUAUUCAUACAACAACAGUUGAUGCUAGUGACAUUUUGACAAAAUUAAAAAUUAAAAAUACAACAACAGUUGAUGUACUUCCGCUUGGAGUAUUGGAUUCGGUCUUUCAAGGUUCUAUAUAUUCGUUAAAACUUAGAAGUAUAGGGUUAUCAAAAUGUCGUGUCCUUGCAAUUUCCUUUGAUCGCGUUAGAGAAUAUUAUAAUUUUGGUACCAAAUAUUUGGGAUAUCAACAAUUUUAAUCUUCAAAGUUUGAACAAAAAUAAAUAUAGGCCUUGUUUGGUAAGUAAAUUUUUGACCAAAUUUAUCUACUACAAGUUUUUUAACAACUUUAACUACAACAAUUUCAAAAAAUUUCUCAAAAAUUUUAAACUAUACAUUUUAAAAUAUUCAAAAAUUUAUACACUUCAAAAAAAUUUUCUACUACUGCUACACUAAAUUACAGUAAAAUUUUAAACAAACACUAAAAGAACUCACUUGUCAAACGGAACCCUAGUUCUAAAUGUUUCACUUUCCAAAUACAUUUAAUUCAAUUGACUAGUUUUGACAAAUUGUUACUUGAAUUUGAACACAAAAGUAGCACAUGCUCGAGGUUAAAUUUUGAAAAAUAUUAGAAAAAAUGAAAAAAAGAGUUUAUAACCCAUAAUUUGUAAUUAAAGGUACUAAUUACUCAUAUGCACAUUAGUGCACUUUAAUUAUAAUUAUGGCCAUUAAUACCUUUUCCUUUUUUCUAAUUUUUUACAAAAUUUAAUCGUUGACACUUACUAUUGAUGUGACCGAAUUCCAGUAAUAAUUUACCAAAACUAUUCAAUUGAAUUAAUUGUGCAUCAAAAUUAAAACAUUUAAAACUAAAUUUACUUUUGUCCAAACUUUAAGAGCUAAAACUGCCAAUGCCCCGAAUAUUUUGUACCAAAACUGUAAUUUUCUCAUUGCAUUGUAACUUGUGUUCUUUUUCCUCUCUUUUUGUCUGGUUUACUUGUCUUUUGGGAGAAUGUGGCGCUCACCCCGCUCAAAUAAUGAUCUGACAAUACGCAUAAGCAUAGUUAUUAGUAUCACGAUUCGUGAUCAUGAGAUUUCACGAUAAUACCCCAUUUUGAGUAAAUGAUCCGCAUCCCAUAUUUCAACUAUUUUGUCCAAUAAUCUCCUUUGGAUUUAGAAGAAGAAAGAACAAAAUUUUUAGUUAAAUCCAUACAUUUCCAAUACAUUAUAUUAUAACCCCAAAGCUUUUAUUAAAUUCAAUAUCACCCCUAAUAUUUUAAAUAACACCUUUUUUUCUUAAUUAAAAUAACAUCAUACAAUUUACGCAUGAGUUGCAUUAUUUAUCAUUAUAUAAGUGGAUAGCAAUCUUAAAAACCUUUAAUAUGACCAUUUACUAAUUUUUUGUAAGAUCUUGCAAUUUGCACUUUUUUUUUUUUUGAGCCCAACAUUGGUAACUUCCAGUAAAGCCCAAUUUGGUAUUAUUAUAAUUCUACUAAAAGAACACGUGGGCGGUAAAGCUAGUUUGAGACAUUUAGCGAACACUGAGUUUGUUUAGAUAAGAGUUUAUUUGGAUGAUUUAUUUACUGUAGCACUUUUUGUGAUGUGAUAUGUGUGAGGUAAAAAGGUGAUUGGGAAGAUAAAAAGGUGAUUGGGAUUUGUGAGGCAAAAUUUUUUUUUCCAAAUUCUCUCUAUCCAAACAAACUCAAUUAUCCUCUAAACUUAAAAGCGAAAUUUUUGAUAUCAAAAGCACUUUUUAGCAAAAGAUCCAAAUUGAUACUUUUAAAAUAACUUUUGUGUUUUAAAAAAAAAAACAUUAAAUUUAAUUAUUUUAUCCAAUAUUAUGAACCAAAAGAGAGAAAUAUAUUUACCAAUUUUUAAAUUACACAUUAUCUAAUAUAAUAAAUGCUUAUUGAACUACAUAUCCAAACAAUGCAUUUAAAAGCACUUAAACACUUAAUAAAUGCUUUUAUUAAAAGAUCUGCUAACCCCAAACGGACCAUGGACCUGAAUUAUGUUCCAUGACAAUGGAUUCAGGUGGAAGAUUGACCAUCAGAAUAUCAAUUAAAGACCAAUGUCUGCACUAAAAUAAUCUUUCAAACUUUUAACAUAAUUGCCUAGCACUCUUCCAAGAUAUUGAUAGAAGUUCAAUGAAUAAUUGAUAAUGCAAUGCGUGGACCACGCUUCAACAAACAUAUGGACUAAUAAUUGAUUCAUAUGCAUGCACUUGACUGAAUAUUGCGCGUAUUACAAGCUAAGUUUCCAUAGGGCUUCACGAGGCUUUGAUUUAUCCUACACGUAUCAUUUCUGAGCCUUUACAUACUCGAGCUUAAGCUAUGCUUGACAAAUUAAAAGGAAGCAAAAACAAAUCCAGACGGGGUUUAGAACACGCCUUACAAAUACUUAAACAAGACACACACAAAAUGAGGUCACUUCACCGUAAAAGCAGUCACAGAAAAGGUGAAAGAAACUCUCUGGUUAAUUGACCUAUCAUUUUAAGUUUGAAAGUAGUAAAUAUGACUGAGUGGACAAACAAUUGGAAUCAGCAAAAGGUGCCCAAGAAUAUUAACAAUUCUAAGCUAUUGUGCUUAAGAACAAAAAGCAGGGCAGUUCAUCUAAUCCACUUCUCUACCACAAAAUCAAGCACUAAUCAAAAGACAAUUGAAAACAUUGAAAAUUAUGGGUUUGACAAUUCAUACUUAAAUCCCAACCCUAGCGAAGCGCACUAAGAAAAAUGUUUAGUCAAAGGUAGAAAGCUUUUGUCACGGAAACAUUCUAAAAUCUUGUGUAGACGCAUAACCCAAGAAAGUAUAAAAUUAAAUCUACUCGUAUACGUUUGAAACCCCUCCAUGUUAAAGGCUUCAGAUAUACAAGUACCAGCAUACAUCCAGGUACUUUGUCAGAGGAUUGGUCAAUCUUUUUCAAUACUCCCUUAACUUCAACCUAGAUCGCCACCUCAAAAACAUGGACUUCCUCUCACUCUAUGUAACCCACAAAUAACAACCAACAAUUAUCUCAUUUUUGCAGUAACUGAGAUCCCUUGUUCCACCAAUUCCCCCUUCUGAGCUACCAAAGAAGAAAAUAAGAAGUGUGAACAAAGAAAGAAAAGUUACAUUUAAAGCAUUCUAAACCUGCUGCACAUGAAGUGGAGAAGAUAUCAGAACCAAAUGUAUGUAAGUAAAAAAUUAGACAUAAAAAAGGUCUGAGACGUGUUUUCAAGUUUAACAUACCCUGGAACUUCAUAUACCAAGAGGAGGUCAUCUUCUUGACAGGAAGUGUAGAUGCAAGCAACACGCUGCUUCGAAAGCAGAGGAGCCAAAAGUAUUGAAUAAGCACAAAAAAAGUGGGCACAUAGAUAAAAAGAAGGGGCCAAGUUAGAAACACAAACCAAAAGCAAAUGACAGAACAAAUCACGACAAUUAGACCAACAAAGUAUGUCAGCAAUCAAUCAUGAAGGAAAUCAAGACGGAUAAAAAAUUAUAAAACUUCUGAAAGGCAGCGGCAACCGUCCAAUCACCACAGACAGGCCUACAAAGCAGUAAUCAGUAGAGAUAGAGCUUUUAUAUUUGAUACUCCAAUUCUUCCUCAUGAACUGAACAUUGUCCCAACGCUCUGCAAAUGUCAUAAGAGCACUGCAAGGUUAAAGAUGUGAGUCCCAAACUUCCAACAAGUAAGUCAU